GGACGGGAUUGAGGAGCUUGCUCUUCAUGAGAGUGGCGCACGGGUGCGUAACACGUAUGUAACCUACCUUUGUCAGGGGGAUAGCCUCUCGAAAGAGAGAUUAAGCCCGCAUAAAAUCACAGGGUGGCAUCACCAAAUGAUCAAAUAUUUAUAGGACAAAGAUGGGCAUGCGGAACAUUAGCUAGUUGGUAAGGUAACGGCUUACCAAGGCUACGAUGUUUAGGGGAUCUGAGAGGAUGGCCCCCCACACUGGUACUGAGACACGGACCAGACUCCUACGGGAGGCAGCAGUAAGGAAUAUUGGUCAAUGGGCGGAAGCCUGAACCAGCCAUGCCGCGUGCAGGAAGACGGCCCUACGGGUUGUAAACUGCUUUUGUACGGGAAUAAACCUCAGUAUGUAUACUGAGCUGAAUGUACUGUAAGAAUAAGGAUCGGCUAACUCCGUG
RNAcentral lists this ribosomal RNA (446 nucleotides) under uncultured bacterium. Its description in RNAcentral is "bacterial SSU rRNA". It matches the Rfam family "Bacterial small subunit ribosomal RNA", at positions 64 to 507 of the family's 1533-position model. The record is from RNAcentral.